GAUCUCUGGUGGGGAAGGGAAACUGAUUUUUUUUUUUUUAAUAAUUACAUAAGAUUACGGGAAAAACUGUGUUUCCUCUUGUUUUUCACAGAUAAUACCCUUCCUACUCUUUCUAGAGAACGCUGUUCUUACAGGCAAAUCCCCCAGACCAGAGGGACAUUUUUUCUUGAAUACAAGGACAAGAAAACACAAGGUGAAUGGUGCUGAUGCUUCUGUCCUUUGCAACAGCAUCUGCAGUGCAUACCUGGGCCUGUUGGGAGGAGGCUUCGUUUACAGGCAGAAGAUUUCCAGAUUUCUUCAAGGACAUCUAACGAUUGGUAUUUAAUGCUCACCAGUGCAGUAUGUGCUGCUUCAGUCUCAUGAAGCAGGGAUAUAACUUCACCUGUUCAGACUGGAGAUCAGCUGGAGAGUAACAAGAAUGGGAAUUUAAAACCAAGGGGGAAAUUUUAUUAUAAAUGUAGAACCUAAAACCUAAAUUGCAAUUUUCAUUUAAUAAAGUAAGACCUCCAGGGUAUUUGCUGAUUGGUCAUACUUCAAAGCUGACUGACAAGUGUAUGAUUCCCCAGUACCUCUUGAAGUGAGGGCUUCCCACUUCAUUUAUGCAUCAGAAAGCACAGUUGAUGCUGCAACAGGUGCUGAACAAACUUGUGAAUUUUCUCUUCACUCUUUUUUUUAUUUUAUUUGUUUUUCUUCCUGGAUGUGAGAACUAAGUGUGGAAACGUGUGUUCUUCUUUAAUUGAUGUGGGUUUUUUUCCUUCAUCGGUUCAAAUCUUUGUUCAAAUGAGGAGAGAGCUUUUAAAGCAAAUCUCCUCUUCAUUUCACUUCUCACACACAUUGGUUUGCAACACAUCAUAACUACCGAGUGCACAAACCAGAUUUUCUUCCAAUUAAACUAAACUGGGAGAUGUGAGACAUCCAUACCGCAUUGUUCCAAUCUCCACUGGCCGCUGACAGGUCUGGACUGGAAUCUUCUGAAGGGAAGUAUCUUAAUCCAUGAAUAUCAUGGAAUGUGGAUGCAUGGAUAGUCUGGCUUUGGACCUUGGAGCUCCAGUGCUCUACAAAUCUAUCCCUACUAGACUGCAUUACCAGAUCAUGUAGACACAGCUUUUUCUGCACAAAUAUUCUGCCUUUGUCUCCUUCUGCACAGGAACAGUUUGGAUCUUACUCAAACAGUAAACAUGAAAGAUCAUUCAUAAUUAUUUAUCUCUCAACUCUCAGGAUACACAUAUGCUGACAGCCCAGUAAGCUCAGAAACGAAGUGAAGAUAUGAAGGUCAUGCAGUUGGAAAAAAAUAGAAGUCAGAACUCAUAAAUGAUAUUUUCAGAUGUGAAUUUAAGCUCUUUUAAUGCUAAUAAAAUUGACAUGAGCUUAGCCAGUCUGCUCCUAAAUCUAGCCAACACUUCAGUAACCUCUGCUGAGUUAAAAAACAUACUUCUGCUCCUCCAGGUGUGAAGCAAUUGCUGCAGAUGAGCACUACUGUCUCUAUGGAAAGACCACAGACAGACCUUAAUGUUCCCAGCAGCUUUGACCUAAGUAAGAGUUUAACAUACAUUGCAGUGAGGAAACCACCAUGGAUAUUCUCUGCAAACUCUUUCCUGGAUGAGGUACCUUCCCUGAAAGGCAGCCUGAGAGUGCUGAACAUUGUCAUGCAGGACCUGCAAUAAAGCUGAACUACAGUUAUAACACAGCAUAGUAUUACUUUUGUAUUUGUCAUGAGAUUAGAUUCUUGUCAAGACAUUUCUUGCCCCCAUAUAUAUCACUGUGGGUAGAACAAAGCAAAGACAAAAGUCAGCUCCCAGUGGUGGGCAAGGGACAGCACCAGUUGCCUCUCUCAAAUAAUUCUUACAAGUCUUUGUGUGAUAAUAUCCCUCUGUAUGUGUCUGUUUUGAAUGCCAUCUCAGUCAUUUAUUUCUUUUCUUCUUUUUUAUUACAGGCUCCCUAUUCCAACAUGAAAAGGUUCUCCUGCUCAUUCCUCCUUCCCAUUGCUGAGGCAGAUGGACUGCUGGUUAUUAAAUAUUCUUCCUAAUGCAGCUGGGCAGCCCAUGUGUGCUCUAUAUUGGUGGGCCAACAGGAAUUUUUAUUGCCUAAUAAGCAGUCAAUAAAGUGAUGCUAAAAAAAGUUACUCCACAAAUUAUUCCAAUACAUAAAACCAACAUGAAUGUCACUGAUGCCAUCGAGUCCAAACAAAGCAAGUGAGCAGCAGUGGCUUUGGACAGUGGAUGCAGAGCAUACAUUGAGCAAGUCCUAACACGUAUGAGAGAAAUGCCUCCAUUUUUCACCUCAGAGACUCAGUCAAGGCUAAUUUCUGAAACCAUUUAUCCGCCUUUAGCUUGAAUGGGCUCCUCAAUACACAUCUGUAGCACCUAGGGCAGCUGCUGACAGCAGAAAAGGAGAGCUGCGAUCAUGAAAAUGUGCACAUCAUAGGGAAGGAUAGAGAAGGGCUGGCAGCACUGGAGGUCUGGUCAGACCUCCUUCAGGUGAAAGUUGCACCCUCCAGCAAAUUUGGGUCCCCACUCUCUCCUAUCCUUUUCAAGAGACAGGGCAAAGGAAAAGGAGUGAGUUCAGAAGUCAGAAUUGGUUGGCCCUCAUAGGAACGGGAUGGAGAGAAGAUGCCCCGAGGCCAGCCCAUAAUGCAGAACAAAUAAGAAAUACUCUGUGGUCUGAGUUAUUCCCACCUCAUUUUAGUGUAACAAGAACAUUUUAGUGUAUCAGUAUUUUGAAUGAAAAGCAGAAGGAAAAAUAUAGUGGAUCUUUGCAUAGUACCAAGACAAAUUUUUCUUCCAUCAUCUAAAGGUGUGUUUUUCUUUCCUGUGGAGUUUCAGGUGACAGCACAACCUGACCUGGGCCUGACACAUGUUAUGAGGUUUGCAGUGUCAUACAGUUGCAGAGUGCCAUAGCCCUGUGCUAGCGUGGGACUACAGAAGUGCUGGUGAUAAUGGAAUGCUGUAAGCCCCCAGGAUAAACCAAUAACCAAGAACUGCAAAACACCAUGGAACGCUCAUACUGCCAUGCAUCCAAAAUGCUCUCCUACACAAAUGCUACAUUGUUGGUUAUCAAAAGCAGGAGAUUGCUUGGAGGAAUU
Long non-coding RNA from Lagopus leucura (white-tailed ptarmigan), 3082 nucleotides. RefSeq lists it as uncharacterized. The record is from RefSeq and is a predicted model, not a curated record. The transcript is spliced from 4 exons. Lineage: Eukaryota; Metazoa; Chordata; Aves; Galliformes; Phasianidae.